RNAcentral lists this ribosomal RNA (441 nucleotides) under uncultured bacterium. RNAcentral describes it as "partial 16S ribosomal RNA". It matches the Rfam family "Bacterial small subunit ribosomal RNA", at positions 338 to 795 of the family's 1533-position model. The record is from RNAcentral.
CCUACGGGUGGCAGCAGUGGGGAAUAUUGGGCAAUGGGCGAAAGCCUGACCCAGCAACGCCGCGUGAAGGAAGAAGGCUUUCGGGUUGUAAACUUCUUUUGACAGGGAAGAGCAGAAGACGGUACCUGUCGAAUAAGCCACGGCUAACUACGUGCCAGCAGCCGCGGUAAUACGUAGGUGGCAAGCGUUGUCCGGAUUUACUGGGUGUAAAGGGCGUGUAGCCGGGCUGACAAGUCAGAUGUGAAAUCCGGGGGCUCAACCCCGGCGAGCCGUUGAAACUGGCGGGCUGGAGUUGGAGAGAAGUACGCGGAAUGCGCGGUGUAGCGGUGAAAUGCUUAGAUAUCGCGCAGAACCCCGAUUGCGAAGGCAGCGUACCGGCUCCACACUGACGCUGAGGCACGAAAGCGUGGGUAUCGAACAGGAUUAGAUACCCUUGUAGUC